This 1564-nucleotide long non-coding RNA is filed under the name Homo sapiens (human). Its description in RNAcentral is "HSALNT0310560". Lineage: Eukaryota; Metazoa; Chordata; Mammalia; Primates; Hominidae. The record is from RNAcentral.
AGUUCAUAAGUGUCUGGCAUUUCCCCUGCUUGCACUCACUCUGUCCUGCCACCCUGUGAAGAAGGUGCCUGCUUCUCCUUUGCCUUCCAGCAUGAUUAUGACAGUGAGGGCCCUGGAGAAUGACAGAUUUACAAGAUGGAGACAACCUGGAUCCCUGAGUGACUGCAUGGAGGAUAGCACCCCCACCAACUUGAGUACCCUGAUUUCUUGUUACCUGUGCGAGAAAUAACAUUCCAUCAUUAGAGUCAUUAAACAUUUGAGUCUAUUUGUUACGGUGGCUCGGUCUAUCCUAAAGGACACACUGCUCUACUUAACUUCAGGAACGGGAUAAUGAAUACUCAAUAAUGAGGAGCCCCUUAUAUAUUUCAGCAAGAUAUUUAUUACUUCAUGUAGACUACACUAUUACUUUGUGUAGACAAGGCUGAGAAACAAGGAUGGUUGCUGACCUAGGUCAGAGAAGUAGUACUGACUGAAAAACCAAACCUAAAGGUUAAUGAAUCACUGUCCAACCAUAUAUAUUCCUUUGGGCUUUAUUAUCAGUUCUGUCCUUUUCAACAUUUGUAGUAAUGACUUGGAUGAAUAUAAAGAAUGCUCACUUCCCAAGCUUGCAAAAUCCACCCUGGAUUGGACAAUCGUGAUUCACAAAUAUCUUGGCGUUUUAUUUGCAUUGUGUUGUUGUAUCCUAACAACUAUGGAGAGAAUAAUGAAUAAAAACUUUGACCCAAUGGGCAGGGGACAGAAGCUUGGCUUUAAAAGGGAAAGGUGAUUGCGCCACUGCACUCCAGCCUGGGCGACAGAGCAAGACUCCGUCUCAAAAAAAAAGGGAAAGGUGGUGCACAAAACUGAAGAUGGUAAAGAUCACUGGAGUAAACUGUAAGGUCCUGAGCUUAGUUUGAAAUAAAUUAGAACAAGAUAGAGAAGACAUGGCUUAAAGCAGCACAUUUUUUAAAAGUUAGACAUUUUAGAACGCAUUUCUACAAGCAUUGUGCCUAUAAUAAAAAGGUGAUAAUCUCGUGUUUUUCUGCCUGUGAGGGGGGACCUCCCUCUUGAUAUUUUGUUGUCAAAUGCUACACAAUACAUGAAAUGUGCUCAGAGGAGAGUGCUCAGAACUGAGAAGCCUCAGGAAGAUGGAUUUGGGGUGUGUGUGUGUGUGUGUGUAUGUGUGUGUGUGUGUGUGUAUGUCUGUGUGUUUUAAUAGAGACAGGGUCUUACUCUGUUACUCAGGCUGGAGUCCAGUGAUGUGAUCACAAUUCACUGUAAACUCUAAUUCUUGGACUCAAGCGAUCCUCCUGCCUCGGCCUCCUGAGUAGGUAGGACUACGGGAAUGUGCCACCAAUUUUUUUUGUAGUGACAAGGGUCUUCCUAUGUUGCCUAGACUGGUCUUGAACUCUUGGCUUCAAAUGAUCCUCCUGUUUCAGCCUCCCAAAGCAUUGGGCUUACAGACGUGAGCCACUGCACCUGGACAAAUUUUUUAAAACAUUCUAUUGGGUAAAUCUGUUCAAUUGUUAAUUGGGCUGCCUCAAUAAGCAGUGAAUGCCCCAUCUCUGGAAGUGUUUGAAUAAAU